Sinocyclocheilus anshuiensis is the source of this 278-nucleotide long non-coding RNA. RefSeq lists it as uncharacterized. The record is from RefSeq and is a predicted model, not a curated record. The transcript has 3 exons. NCBI's taxonomy places the organism in Eukaryota, Metazoa, Chordata, Actinopteri, Cypriniformes, Cyprinidae.
GGGAAAAGAAACUUGUAAUGAAUUGUGCCAAAAUGAUUGUUCAUAUUGCAAAAUAAUUCUAAGAUAUUAAUUGAAUAGAAUGUAUUAAAUGCAUCUAAAAGAAAGGGAUAUGGGGACACCUACAGGUGACUAAGGUAACCUAUCAGUGGAAUUGGCCAUUUUCUCCUCAGUCGCAUGAAAGCCGUUGAGGAGAAUGUUAUGAGACCGGAUGAGCUGUAUUUCAUGUCUGUUUGGUGUCAUUUCAUAUAUUCCAGUAAAUGCGAUGAGUGAGCUCAGCC